This is a long non-coding RNA of Parambassis ranga (Indian glassy fish), 482 nucleotides long. NCBI's taxonomy places the organism in Eukaryota, Metazoa, Chordata, Actinopteri, Ambassidae. The record is from Ensembl.
GGAUCAACGAGGUGCCAUCAAACUUGAAGGAGACGUGUUCUGAGUCUGCACAGUCGAUGCGUUCACGGCAUCACCACUGAACUUGCAUCAUUUCCCCCCUAAAGAGGCGGACUCGCUUUCCGUGGUGCUGAAACCAACGACUCGGCUGAUCAACUAGUGAAGAAGAAGAAGAAGACACUUCAUCACCUGCUUCUUCUGAGCUUCAUGGUGUUUCGGAGCCUUGGCGAGAACUUCUUCCAUUAGUGUCUGACAGUGCUGCACCAUGCUGUGGAUGAAGAUGAAGAUGGUGAUGGACUCCCUGUGUGGACGGAGAAGGAGGCUGCCCUGCUCCGUCUGGUUCAUCCUGCUGUUCGCUGCUGGAGGUCUGGUUCUUUUCAUCCACCAGCAGGAUCUGUCAGAGAUGGUCCAGCAACAUGGCCCAGAUUGGUUAAAUCAACUUGCAAGAAUGAGGCCAUACCCUGCAUUGGCAGCCACAUGCAGAC